Molecule: non-coding RNA, 67 nt
Filed under: Vibrio fluvialis
Lineage: Bacteria; Pseudomonadati; Pseudomonadota; Gammaproteobacteria; Vibrionales; Vibrionaceae
Also listed under: 1 other name
Source: RNAcentral
UUUGACACGACAUUGCUCACAUUGCUUCCAGUGUAAUAUUUAAGCUUUAUGGUAAGGCUGAACAAUC